GCGGCGGGGGGACUGAGGGGCCUAAGGACCUGCGCCUGGCGGCGCGUGGCAGCGGUUUCUAAGCCCGCGCUGCAGCCUUGGGCCUCGGGCCUCGGGCCUCGGCCCGCUGCAGUGCUCCAGCUCGCGCCUCCUGCGGCCGGCUCGCGGGCCUGAGCCUAUGGCUCAGGAGGAGCCGCUGCUGACGUUGCUCUGCACUGUGAGGCCUCGGCCAAAAUGGCCCUGCAAGUGUGGCUGCCCCCGAGCACGACGGCCCUUCCCGGGGACCAACUCCAAAGUGACAGCCCAGCCCCGGGAGCCUAUUUAAUACCGAACGUGCCGCAUAUUCCACAUAAUACAGUUCCAGCGCCUCUGGUAAAAAGCAGGAAUGGCUUCAAUGGCUAGAUAGAGUGGACGCUUGUCCGAGAAUAUUACAGGAUAGCUUUUGAGAUCCCAGACUUGAAAUUGAAGAAGCUGGCUACUUGGAAGCGUUUAUGGUGCAGACCAAGAAAGACCCAAGAAAAUAUUCCUCUCUUUAGCUGAAGGACCAGUAAAGGGGCAGUAUAGCAGACAGAAAACAUUUAGACAAUAAAUGCUCUACUCCAGACAAAAACUAUGAAAAAAAUAUGACUCCUCCUGUCCCCUAAUUCAUGGUAGCAAAGGUCUGGUGGAGAGCCAAGACUUUCACCUCAGCUUCCCCUUGCCUCUUGGCAAGAGAAAGUUAGGUAGGGAGUUAGGACAUUCAUCCCACUAACCAGUAAUGGGAAGCCUCCUGCUUUGGGUGUCAAUGGAGGCCAAAUAGGGAACUUGGACUUCUUCCCCAACCUGGCAGUAAUGAGGUGGUACCUGCUCCCCACCCCCACUUCCACUUGGAAUGCUGUGUCAGAAAAAGCCAGCUAAAAUAAGAGAUUUAAAUAAGAUCUAAAAUCUCAUAGUACAAUACCCUCAAUAUCUAGAUUUCACCUGAAAAUCAAUGGUCAUUUAACGAACUAGGAAGAUUUCAAACUGUAUAUAAAAGAGACAAUAAAUGAUAAAAUCAA
Molecule: long non-coding RNA, 1016 nt
Organism: Odocoileus virginianus texanus
Lineage: Eukaryota; Metazoa; Chordata; Mammalia; Artiodactyla; Cervidae
Source: RefSeq, a predicted model, not a curated record